This is a small nuclear RNA of Ailuropoda melanoleuca (giant panda), 105 nucleotides long. The record is from Ensembl. Lineage: Eukaryota; Metazoa; Chordata; Mammalia; Carnivora; Ursidae.
GUGCUCACUUUGGGAGAAACACAUAGUAAAAUUGAAACUAUACAGAGAUUAGCAUGGUGCCUGCACAAGGAUGACAUGCAAAUGUGUGAAGUAUUCCUUAUAUUU